RNAcentral lists this transfer-messenger RNA (373 nucleotides) under Actinokineospora terrae. RNAcentral describes it as "Standard tmRNA". It matches the Rfam family "transfer-messenger RNA". Rfam says of the family: Bacterial tmRNA, also known as 10Sa RNA or SsrA, is named for its dual tRNA and mRNA-like properties. Its role is to liberate the mRNA from a stalled ribosome. RNAcentral also lists the same sequence under 1 other name. The record is from RNAcentral. Lineage: Bacteria; Bacillati; Actinomycetota; Actinomycetes; Pseudonocardiales; Pseudonocardiaceae.
GGGGGUGAACGGUUUCGACUCUGGACGUCGAGUCAGGGGAAGCGUGCAGGUGCAGGCGAGAUGACCACCUCAAGCGUCGCUCGCAAAACAAUAAGCGCCAAGACUAACAGUCGCGCUGACUUCGCCCUCGCUGCCUAAGCGAGCGCAAGUCUGUCGGCCCGGGGACGCCUCCGCCCCGGUAGCCGGCAUCAGCUAGGAGGCUCACCGCCCGCCCCGGUCACGGGGGCGAAGCGGGAAACCCACAGUGGCUGGGCCCGUCACACCGGCUUGUUCGCGUGACCGGUGGGGCCGAGUAGAGACAUCGCGAACUGCGCACGGAGAAGUCCUGAUGAAGCGACAGAGGACCCGGGUUCGAUUCCCGGCACCUCCACGA